RNAcentral lists this long non-coding RNA (227 nucleotides) under Physcomitrium patens. RNAcentral's name for it is "long non-coding RNA (PPAT_LNC013157)". Lineage: Eukaryota; Viridiplantae; Streptophyta; Bryopsida; Funariales; Funariaceae. The record is from RNAcentral.
CGGUUUCAUUGGAGGUUUUUUGAAGAUCAAGGGAAUUAGAGAGAGGAGCUUCAUGCUUCGGGUCGGGGAAGGAAAGACAUAGAAUUUGGAUUUUUCUUCUUCGUAGAGUUUUAGGAAGACUGAGGCAAUCGCUGCUGAAGUCAGUAUUGUAAUGGUGAAUCGGGAUUUUUAAAUGAAGUGGGUUUGAAUACUCUUGAUUGUUUUGUAAAAUCGAGUUACGUCUGUGA